AGUGAACGCUGGCGGUAGGCCUAACACAUGCAAGUCGAACGGCAGCACAGUAAGAGCUUGCUCUUACGGGUGGCGGGUGGCGGACGGGUGAGGAAUACAUCGGAAUCUACUUUUUCGUGGGGGAUAACGUAGGGAAACUUACGCUAAUACCGCAUACGACCUACGGGUGAAAGCAGGGGAUCUUCGGACCUUGCGCGAUUGAAUGAGCCGAUGUCGGAUUAGCUAGUUGGCGGGGUAAAGGCCCACCAAAGCGACGAUCCGUAGCUGGUCUGAGAGGAUGAUCAGCCACACUGGAACUGAGACACGGUCCAGACUCCUACGGGAGGCAGCAGUGGGGAAUAUUGGACAAUGGGCGCAAGCCUGAUCCAGCCAUACCGCGUGGGUGAAGAAGGCCUUCGGGUUGUAAAGCCCUUUUGUUGGGAAAGAAAAGCAGCAGGUUAAUACCCCGCUGUUCUGACGGUACCCAAAGAAUAAGCACCGGCUAACUUCGUG
This 492-nucleotide ribosomal RNA is filed under the name uncultured bacterium. RNAcentral's name for it is "partial 16S ribosomal RNA". It matches the Rfam family "Bacterial small subunit ribosomal RNA", at positions 29 to 507 of the family's 1533-position model. The record is from RNAcentral.